This 641-nucleotide ribosomal RNA is filed under the name Zodarion italicum. RNAcentral's name for it is "SSU rRNA". It matches the Rfam family "Eukaryotic small subunit ribosomal RNA", at positions 1122 to 1779 of the family's 1831-position model. Lineage: Eukaryota; Metazoa; Arthropoda; Arachnida; Araneae; Zodariidae. The record is from RNAcentral.
AGUAUGGUUGCAAAACUUAAACUUAAAGGAAUUGGCGGAAGGGCACCACCAGAAAUGGAGCAUGCGGCUCAAUUUGACUCAACACGGGAAAUCUUACUAGGUCAGGACACAGGAAGGAUUGACAGAUUAAGAGCUCUUUCUUGAUUCUGUGGGUGGUGGUGCAUGGCCGUUCUUAGUUGGUGGAGCGAUUUGUCUGGUCAAUUCCGAUAACGAACGAGACUCUAGCCUACUAAAUAGACGUUCCGAUCCUCUGCGUCGGACGUUCUUCUUAGAGGGACAAGCGGCGUUUAGCCGCACGAGACAGAGCAAUAGCAGGUCUGUGAUGCCCUUAGAUGUCCUAGGCCGCACGCGCGCUACAUUGAAGGAAUCAGCGUGUGCUCUCCCUGUCCGACAGGAUUGGGUAACCCGCUGAACCUCCUUCGUGCUGGGGAUUGGAAAUUGAAAUUGUUUUCCAUGAACGAGGAAUUCCCAGUAAGCACGAGUCAUCAGCUCGUGUUGAUUACGUCCCUGCCCUUUGCGCACACCGCCCGUCGCUACAUCCGAUUGAGUGAGUUAGCGAGGUCUUCGGACUGGUGCUCGGGUCGCGACUUCCGGGUCGCGCCUGUGUGCCGGAAAGAUGACCGAACUUGCCCACUUAGAGG